GAUGAACGCUAGCUACAGGCUUAACACAUGCAAGUCGAGGGGUAGCAGGGUAGCAAUACCGCUGACGACCGGCGCACGGGUGAGUAACACGUAUCCAACCUACCAUUCACACGGGGAUAGCCUUUCGAAAGAAAGAUUAAUACCCGAUAGUAUAGCGAGAGGGCAUCCUUUUGCUAUUAAAGAAUUUCGGUGUUUGAUGGGGAUGCGUUCCCUUAGAUUGUUGGUGAGGUAACGGCUCACCAAGUCUUCGAUGGAUAGGGGUUCUGAGAGGAAGGUCCCCCACAUUGGAACUGAGACACGGUCCAAACUCCUACGGGAGGCAGCAGUGAGGAAUAUUGGUCAAUGGACGAGAGUCUGAACCAGCCAAGUAGCGUGAAGGAUGAAGGCCCUAUGGGUCGUAAACUUCUUUUAUAGGGGAAUAAAGUGCGGAACGUGUUCCGCUUUGUAUGUACCCUACGAAUAAGGAUCGGCUAACUCCGUGCCAGCAGCCGCGGUAA
Molecule: ribosomal RNA, 497 nt
Filed under: uncultured bacterium
Lineage: Bacteria
Description: partial 16S ribosomal RNA
Rfam family: Bacterial small subunit ribosomal RNA
Source: RNAcentral